Molecule: ribosomal RNA, 357 nt
Filed under: uncultured bacterium
Lineage: Bacteria
Description: bacterial SSU rRNA
Rfam family: Bacterial small subunit ribosomal RNA
Source: RNAcentral
AACGAACGCUGGCGGCAGGCCUAACACAUGCAAGUCGAACGGGCGUAGCAAUACGUCAGUGGCGGACGGGUGAGUAACACGUGGGAAUAUGCCUUUCGGUUCGGAACAACUCGGGGAAACUCGUGCUAAUUCCGGAUACGCCCUUACGGGGAAAGGAUUAUCGCCGAAGAUUAGCCCGCGUUGGAUUAGCUAGUUGGUGAGGUAACGGCCCACCAAGGCAACGAUCCAUAGCUGGUUUGAGAGAACGACCAGCCACACUGGGACUGAGACACGGCCCAGACUCCUACGGGAGGCAGCAGUGGGGAAUCUUGGACAAUGGGGGAAACCCUGAUCCAGCCAUGCCGCGUGAGUGAUGAA